AUUGAACGCUGGCGGAAUGCUUUACACAUGCAAGUCGAACGGUAGAGGGGGCAACCCCUUGAGAGUGGCGAACGGGUGAGUAAUAUAUCGGAACGUGCCCAGUCGUGGGGAUAACGUAGCGAAAGCUACGCUAAUACCGCAUACGAUCUAUGGAUGAAAGCGGGGGAUCGCAAGACCUCGCGCGAUUGGGAGCGGCCGAUAUCAGAUUAGGUAGUUGGUGAGGUAAAGGCUCACCAAGCCGACGAUCUGUAGCUGGUCUGAGAGGACGACCAGCCACACUGGGACUGAGACACGGCCCAGACUCCUACGGGAGGCAGCAGUGGGGAAUUUUGGACAAUGGGCGCAAGCCUGAUCCAGCAAUGCCGCGUGCAGGAUGAAGGCCUUCGGGUUGUAAC
This 395-nucleotide ribosomal RNA is filed under the name uncultured bacterium. RNAcentral's name for it is "bacterial SSU rRNA". It matches the Rfam family "Bacterial small subunit ribosomal RNA", at positions 30 to 429 of the family's 1533-position model. The record is from RNAcentral.